AUUUAAAAAAAAAUAUUCCAUCCAUUUUCAUUUCCAAAAAAUGGGGGCCAAAAAAUGCAUAAAUUUGAUCCACUAACUCCAAAUAUCUGCGUCCGCCAGUGAUGCUAGUCAUAUUAAUUGCCAAUUUGGAAUACCAGCUUGGCUUAUAGUGUGGUCCAAGAAUGGGAUCAGAGACCGAAGUACCUAGUUGGGCCUCGGGAUCUUUAUUAAGAAUUCAUGAGUGACCUCGUUAACCUGAUUUUAACAAAGGUUUAAUCGAUCACUAUUAGAAAAGGGAACAAGUCAUGGUCCUGGUUUUUUUUAGCUUGGACAUCAGCAUCAAGUCCUAAGCUUAGUGAAGAGGUAAGCUGCAUGCCAGUUGUCGAUGUAAUCAGGUUUUCCACCUAAUAAGCAGUUAUGAAGAGACAUCCUCACUUCGGCCGAUCUGACAAGUUUCAAGGAUAUCUGACAAAAUGUCCAAACCAACGAGUUAAUAAGGCACACUGUCCAAUAAUUGUAUGACACUGAUGGUGACUGACCUUACAUAUUGUACAAGGUGGCUAGAGGCUUUUGGUAAGCAGUGUUGUCUGCAUUAAGCUCUUAACUCUGUUAAAUUUAACUCAUUCCAUGUCUGACUCAAGCAUUGGUCUCGGCGCUAAAUUUCUUUAUAGCUCAGUCCAACAGCCAAAAAUAUUUGAGUGUGAUAGCAUUUUUGGGUAUUUUUCUGCUCCUUUCUUGUGAACUUCGAUAUUCGUUUGUAGAGGUAUGAAGUAUCUGAAUGAGAUGUGAUAUCUUACAGUGAGAUAAAAUAUAUAACUACCCAUUGGCUGAAUUCAAGAUUGCAUUUCCGGUAACAGUUUAGUUGUUCCUUGUCCAUUUGAAUUCUCUGAUCAAUGAUGCAGAAUGGUGGUGUUAGUAUGAUUCAAUCAUAUUCACGUUUUAUUCUAUGGGAUGUUCUUUGUGGUAAUGGUAAGUUGCAUGAUGGAGUUCUUGGCACCCCCCCUCCUUGGAUUCUCAUAUCUUUGCAAAUACUUGGAGCUCUCAUUUAUUUCUUGAAUGCUGACGCCCUGGUAUGAUGAUUGAUACAUAAUGACAAUAUUACAAGAAUCUUUGGAAGGAUUGGGUUUUUGGUGCCCUGAGAUCUGGUAUGCUCGUAUUUUCAAGAUAUUGGUUAUCGUGGAUCUUUUUUGAUGAUUUUGACGGUUUUAGCUCUUUUUCCUUUGUAUUGUGGGUAUUUCUUUUUUGUUUUGGCAGAUACAAUCAGUCAUUUGUUAAUUUCAACUUCUAGAUUGAGCAUGUGAAAUUUUAAUGGUUUGAUAGACCCCAUCAAGACUCUCGUCUUUUCCAAUACUUUGAAUUUCUUGUUUAUUAUUAAAAUCAUAACAAGAAGAUGUACUCAUUUCUUGGCAUGACGACAGAUACACACCGGCAAUUAUUCCAAGAAUCUUCUAAAGGAUUGGGCCUGUGUUGCCUUUGCUUCGUCCGGGAAGUGGUAUCCUCGUACUUUCGUAAUACCAAUUAGUUGAAUCUUGGAAUACUCUGACGAUUUUUUUAAUAGUUUUAGCCUGUUUUCUGUUUUUCAUAUGGGGUUUUUAUACCUUGAGCUGGUGAAUAUUGUUCUGGUGCUUUGAUGACUGCCCCAACCUUUAGUGUUUUGAACUCAUUUCGCUUACUGGAUUGAGAGUUGGAAUUUAAAGUAGUUUGAUGGAGUUUUUUCUCAAGUGGAUUUUCGUAUUUUUUGCAAAAUAUUUGGAUAUCGAGUUUAACAUCUGCAGCUAAUGUGUGAUACUGUGAUUUCCAACUAUCACGAUAGGUAAUUCUUGGAUCACCUUUUUUUCAUCUUUUCUCUAACGUAAUGCAAUUUCCUGGUAUCUGUUAUAACAAAUUGACAUUUAUUCCGGUAUAAUCUUUGGAAAUAGGUUUUUGGUUCCGUUGCCUGUGGAUUGAGGCCAUUAACGUAAUAUACUGAAUCCUUAUAGUGAGUUAUUUGCAGGAAAUAGACUCAAAAGUAUAUAAAUACUGGACGAUUGCUCAUGCGGACGACUUUGGUUAUGGUUCCACCAGUUUUCCAUUAGGCAGUAUCUUGUUUCUCAAGGGAUAAAUAUACUAAAGGUUUACAAUCAGAAUUAAGCGUUGCACUUUUGUCUUCGUCUAUCUCGAAUUCUUCUAUUUUGCAAGCUGUUUGUAGUACGAGGCAAGUAGAAGAGAAAUCUAGUCAUUAUUUUCUUGUUGUCCAUACAGUGUUUUUCAUAUGCAGAUGAUAUUUUGGAGGAAUCAAUUGGAGAAUUGCACUUUUGUUAGUCCAUCUAUCUUGAAUUCUUCUAUUUUGUAAGCUGUUUGUUACUGAAGCAAUAUAUAGGGUCAUUAUUUUCUGUGGUCUGUACACUGUUUUUCAUAUGGAGAUUUUUUUUUUGAAGAAUUGACUGGAGAAGUGACAAAAUUUUCUCAUCAUGUUUUUCAUCUGCUGCAGCAAUAGCAUUUGUCGUCUCUGUUCAGAUGACAACGUAUCUUGUCCUGUAAAUCUGUUUAUCGCUGAUUCCUUUAACUAAUUCUAUUCAGAUUUUUUUUUUUUAGUUUGAAUUGUGCAGUUUUCAAUUCAGUGGUUAGGACAUGGGGUUGUUGGACUCACAUUAUUGCAGCUUGAAUCUAUGUAGUUGGUUUUAAAUUCUAUGACUUCGAUUUCCAUUGGUGAAUUUCAUGGAUGCGGUUUGUUUGUUAUUUUUGAUCGGUAAAAAAGGAUUUCAUUGGUGUUUCCAUGAGUUUCUUUGUUCCUUAGUAUUUGCAGUCUAUAAGUGGUCUUCAGGGUUGUGUGAAGCAAUAUAUAUAUGAUCUUCACUCUUGUAUUGCUAAAGAUGAAUAUCGGUUUCUUUGGCGCUUCAUCCGCAGGUGGAAUUAUUGUGAUUAAUGAUAAUGGUCAUUAAUGAAUAGGUGUAAGAUUUUCCUCUUUUUUACUCGUUCAUUUCUGGUUAAACAGUCUCAGUUUACGUUGUCAGGGUUUUAGGUGCAGAUUGAUCAGUUUAUAAGGCAAUCUGAAGGGAAACCUAUUCGUAUACUGCUACAUUUGCACCACUCAUUUUUAACCUUCCCCAGAUGAAUUGAAUUGGACUUCUCUGUCUUUUCAUAUAAAAAGCCUUAGGUUCUUUGAUGUUUCGUUACGUGCAGAAAGAUUUCAACAGGAAGAGAAUAUUGCUGUAAUGGGGAUAACUUAUAAGACAGGAUUAUGUGAUGCUGUCUAUGUGGUCAUGCUUUGAUCGACUUUCCCAACUCCUUGGUUCUGAUUAAUUUUUCCCACAUUUCUUUAAGGAAGCUUCAGAGAGCAGAGGUUAUCUUUGUUUCUCGGGAAACUUCUGUCUAGCUGGACAGAGUGGAGGUGAAGCAACAUUAUUAUUUUUACAUGUUUGCUGGUUUUUAUGAAAUUUUUUCCAGUUGCUUGGAAUGUGAUCUUGACUCUUAUAUUGGUAUGGAAUCUGGUUUUCUUCUGUGCUUCCUCAGCUGCUGGUGAAAAUCCUUAUGGUCAAAGAUAAUGGAUAUCAAUGUAACAAGGGUGUAGAAUUUUCUUUUGUUUUCUCCUUGUUCAUUUAUGUUUCAACAUUCUCAGUUUGUGUUUUGGGAGAGUUCUGGUGGAGAUUGAUCAUUUCAUGGGGAAACCUAUUUUUUGUUUACUUGCGGCCACAUUUGCACCUGUGGUUCAAGACCAUUUCCCCUCUCUGGUGAGAUUUUGCGUGUACUUCAUAGAUAACCUUCCUGAAUGUGGUUCUCUCUACUUUUUUAAAUGAGUCAUGAUCAACUUUUCCCUUCCUUGAAGAAAAUUUUUCCCGGUAUUUCUUUCCAUCCCAUAUUAUGGAUCAAGAUGGAAAUUCAAAAGCAAUUUCGAGUUAGAAUCACAUAGCAAUUUAAAAUAUGCAUUGACACAUAUGUAGGAGCUGUCGUGUUAUAAACUUACUUUUCAAUCUGCCGUUAUUAAUAUUUGAGGGUGAUCAAAUUCUUGAUAAUCAAGUUCUUCAAGCAUUUUUCUUUCUUUCUUUCUAUUUAUUUAUUUAUUUUUAUUUAUAUAGUUAGAGAAUAAGUGGGCAUGUUGACAACUAUUCGAAGAAUCUUUGGAAUGAUUAGGUUUUUGGUUUCAUUGCCUAUAAAUUGAGGCCAUUAAUUUUUCCUGAAAUGGCAGUUUGCUCCUAGGUCUGUAACUAAAUCGUUAGUGAGUGCAUGAAAUAUAUAAAUCCUGGGUGUUAAUCAUACAGACAACUUUGGUUCUGGUUCCGUCAGCUUGUCCAUUAGGCCAACAUCAACAACUGAAGGGAUAUUUCCAAGGCUAUAGGUUUAAAAUCAAAAUUAAGUGUUGCACUUUGGUCGUGCAAGCUUAGUGUUUAAAGUACAAUGCAGUUCUGAAGCAUAUUUUGAGGGUGUUUGGGAGCCAUUUUUAUGUAAAAAUGUAUCUUGGAAUAGUAAAUUGAUGGGAAAUGUGUGGUUAAAAAAUAAGAAAAAGUUUUUGAUUUACGUGUAAUAAUAUUUUAAUGAAAAAUGUGUGGUUGAAAAGAAGAGAGAAAAAUAUAUUUUGAAAAAAAUGGGUACCAUGCUUUGGUUUAUACAGUGUUUUUCAAAUGCAGAUGAUAUGUUAUAGGAAUCCAUUAGAGAAUGGACGUGAGAUUCUCAUGUUUUAGGAAUCCAUUAGAGAAUUGACAUAAGAUUCUCAUGUUUUUGAUUUGCAGUAACAGAUUUUGUUCUCUUUUUAGAUGACGGGGUUCUAUCCUUGUCAAUCUUUUUAUGUCUAUUUCUCUUACAAUACCUAGAUUUUCUUCCCUAUUUACUAACCUGACUUCCCUCAAAAAAAUUAAUGGACAGUUGUUUCUUGGAAAGUUCUUUUACAGGUUUCUGUGAAGAAUUGUUUUGCUAAAAAUGAAGAUUUUGUUUACUGUACAUUUGCACUAGCCAUCCACCCCCCGGGCUGUUUUUUCUCUAAAUGAUAUGAAAUGUAGACUGCUUUUGAUCAAUUUCAUAUAGAAUCCUUAGAUAUCUUUAUAGAGAAGUAUAUUUUCUUUAUUGCUACAAAAGGAUUUUGCGAAUGCUAUCUAUCUGGUCAUAUGUUUAUCAAUGUUCCCAAUUCCUUGAUUCUGCUUUAUUGUUUCAAGCAUUUUCCCAGUUAUUAAUGCCUCUUGUGACUGCAUUCUCAACAUAGAAAAAUCAAUGUUUGGCAUGCUUAUGAAGUUGACAUAAAAGGCGGUCAAGAAGCUUUAGUUAUUUAUUUGAUGUUAUAACAACAUCGUUCCCACUUCUCAUUGAUAUUUCUGCUUAAAUGAAUAUUGUGGGAGACCUUUCUAAUCCGUGCACAGGAAUAUUCACUUUUGCACAAGAAUAUCCGGACAUGCAGUAGCAGGAAAUUCUUUUCCACAAUUCAGUGCAGCUCUACCAGGUUGGGAAAUCGGCUUUGGGGGUGUGUAAGAAGUCAAGUGACUUAAUAUUUGUCAGUUCCAUGGCUAUCUACAUUUACUUACAGGGACAUGUACAAUAUUCCUGUGGUGUUGCUAAUGUUUUGAGGUUAUGUUGGGCUCUCUUACAGCACACUGAUAACAUUGAUCAACUUUCUGUGACUAUUUACUGUUCACAUCCACUCAGUGAAGUGCCGUGGCAGCUGGAGUCCACGCACCGGAUUCAUACUAACCGUGAUAAAAAAAAGGUUUCUUCGCUGGGGUUGAUGGAACUCUUUAUUCUUGGCACCUGAAGUGGGACCAAAGAAAGGUUGAACAGAAUUCGGUAAGGGAGAAAAUUAGAAGAUGAAGAGAAUUCAAGUUUGAUAAGAGAUAGUACUGGAGAUAAUGAAGAAAGGCUUAGUACCUUACCUGAAUGUGUUCUUUGUCACAUACUAUCUUUCAUAUGUUGUUCAGACAUGUGUGUUGUCCAAACGAUUUAAGAACCUUUGGUCCUCGCUCCCGUCAUUAACUUUGAUACUACUUCGUUCAGUAAAUUGUCAUCUUUUAACAAGUUUAUGGAUCGAACACUAACUCUUCGUGACAAUUCUAGUAGGGUUUACGACUUCAAA
Molecule: long non-coding RNA, 6013 nt
Organism: Olea europaea var. sylvestris
Lineage: Eukaryota; Viridiplantae; Streptophyta; Magnoliopsida; Lamiales; Oleaceae
Exons: 3
Source: RefSeq, a predicted model, not a curated record